RNAcentral lists this ribosomal RNA (253 nucleotides) under uncultured bacterium. Its description in RNAcentral is "partial 16S ribosomal RNA". It matches the Rfam family "Bacterial small subunit ribosomal RNA", at positions 524 to 776 of the family's 1533-position model. The record is from RNAcentral.
UACGUAGGUGGCAAGCGUUGUCCGGAAUUAUUGGGCGUAAAGCGCGCGCAGGUGGUUUCUUAAGUCUGAUGUGAAAGCCCACGGCUCAACCGUGGAGGGUCAUUGGAAACUGGGGAACUUGAGUGCAGAAGAGGAAAGUGGAAUUCCAAGUGUAGCGGUGAAAUGCGUAGAGAUUUGGAGGAACACCAGUGGCGAAGGCGGCAUCCUGGACCGGCAUUGACGCUGAGGCGCGAAAGCUAGGGGAGCAAACGGG